This 468-nucleotide ribosomal RNA is filed under the name uncultured bacterium. RNAcentral's name for it is "partial 16S ribosomal RNA". It matches the Rfam family "Bacterial small subunit ribosomal RNA", at positions 28 to 507 of the family's 1533-position model. The record is from RNAcentral.
GACGAACGCUGGCGGCGUGCUUAACACAUGCAAGUCGAACGGAAAGGCCCUGCUUUUGUGGGGCGCUCGAGUGGCGAACGGGUGAGUAACACGUGAGUAACCUGCCCUUGACUUUGGGAUAACUUCAGGAAACUGGGGCUAAUACCGGAUAGGAGCUCCUGCUGCAUGGUGGGGGUUGGAAAGUUUCGGCGGUUGGGGAUGGACUCGCGGCUUAUCAGCUUGUUGGUGGGGUAGUGGCUUACCAAGGCUUUGACGGGUAGCCGGCCUGAGAGGGUGACCGGCCACAUUGGGCCUGAGAUACGGCCCAGACUCCUACGGGAGGCAGCAGUGGGGAAUAUUGCACAAUGGGCGGAAGCCUGAUGCAGCAACGCCGCGUGCGGGAUGACGGCCUUCGGGUUGUAAACCGCUUUCGCCUGUGACGAAGCGUGAGUGACGGUAAUGGGUAAAGAAGCACCGGCUAACUACGUG